GGCGGACCCUGUUUUGCCUGUCUCCCUCAUCAGGGCAGGUACAUUAGCUCCAGGACAGGUGACUUUCACUCGUGUCGGUGUGAAGAGACCACCAAACAGGCUUUGUGUGAGCAAAAAAGCUUUUAGUCACCUGGGUGCAGGCGGGCUGAGCCCGAAAAGAGAGUCAACAAAGGGAGAUAGGGGUGGGGCCGUUUCAUAAGAUUUGGGUAGGUAAAGGAAAAUUACAGUCAAAGGGGGGUUGUUCUCUGGCGGGCAGGGAUGGGGGGUCACAAGGUGCUCAGUGAGGAAGCUUUUUAGCCAGGAUGAGCCAGGAGAAGGAAUUUCACAAGAUAAUGUCAUCGGUUAAGGCAGCGACCGGCCAUUGUCACUUCUUUUGUGGUGCAAAGUCAUCAGUUAAGUCAGGGACUGGCCAUUUUCACUUGUUUUAUGGAGGAAUGUCAUCAGUUAAGGCAGGAACAGGUCAUUUAAAUUUCACUUCUUUUGUGAUUCUUCAGUUACUUCAGGCCAUCUGGAUGUAUACGUGUAGGUCACAGGGUAUAUGAUGGCUUAGCUUGGGCUCAGAGGCCUGACAUUCCUGUCUUCUUAUAUUAAUAAGAAAAAUAAAACAAAAUAGUGUUGAAGUGUUGGGGCGGUGAAAAUUUUGGGGGUGGUAUGGAGCGAUAAUGGGCGAUAUUUCUCAGGGCUGCUUCGAGUGGGAUUAGGGGCAGCGUCGGAACCUAGAGUGGGAGAGAUUAAGCUGAAGGAAGAUUUUGUGGUAAGGGGUGAUAUUGUGGAGUUGUUGGAAGAAACAUUUGUCAUUUAGAAUUAUUGGUGAUGGCCUGGACACGGUUUUGUAUGAAUAGAAAAAGUAAAUGGAGUAAGAGAAGGAGAACAGGUAUUAAAGGACUAAGAAUUGGGAGGACCUAGGACAUCUAAUUAGAGAGUGCCUUAGAAGGUUCAGCAUAGCCUUGGCCAGCAAAGAUUAUUUAUUUACUUUAAGAGUUAAGAGUGGCGGUUUGGGGAUAGCACCAGGAGAUAUCAGCUGUGAUGGCUUGGAGAAACAGUGUAAACUGGCAGUGUAAACAAGAGCAGGGAAUUUAUGAGUAGUUGAGAACGGUGAAUAGGAGUAUGACCAGACAGAAGAUAGUAGCGAUGACAAGUUUUUGGGGGCACAGUCCAAGUUGGUCUGGUGUCUGGAAUGAGACUGGGGCCUAAUAAAAAGGAGCGUCUAUACAGGAGCUCAAAUGGACUGUACCUUGUAGCAUUCUGAGGACAGGCCUGAAUUCUGAGAAGGGAAAGUGGUAAAAGUAUUGUCCAGUCCUUUUUAAGUUGGUGGCUGAGCUUGGUGAGGUGUCUUUUUAAAAGACCAUUAGUUCACUGAAUACUAAGAGCCUGAGAAACUGCUUGGGUGAUUUGACUAAUAAAGGCCGGUCCCUUAUAGGACUGUAUAGAGGUGGGAAGGCCAAACCGAGGAAUUAUGUCUGACAGAAGGGAAGAAAUGACAGUGGUGGCCUUCUUAGACCCUGUGGGAAAGGCCUUUACCUAUCCAGUGAAAGUGUCUACCUAGACCAAGAGGUAUUUUAGUUUCCUGACUCCGGGCAUGUUGAGUAAAGCCCAUUUGCUGGUCCUGGGUGGGGGCAAAUCCCUGAGCUUGAUGUGUAGGGAAGGGAGGGGGCCUGAAUAAUCCCUGAGGAGCAGUAGAAUAGCAGAUGGAACACUGAGAAGUUAUUUCCUUGAGGAUAGAUUUCCACGAUGGAAAGGAAAUGAGAGGUUCUAAGAGGCGGGCUAGUGGCUUGUCCUAUAGCACAGCCUGCCUUUGCUGAUGUGUGGCGAUUAGGCCUGGUGCAACUGCCAUCAAUAAACCAAGUGUGAUUAGGGUGAGGAACAGGAAAGAAGGAAAUAUGGGGAAAUGGAGUGAAUGUCAGGUGGAUCAGAGAGAUACAGUCACGGGGGUCAGGUGUGGUAUCAGGAAUAAUGUGGGAGGCCGGAUUGAAGUCCGGGCCAGGAACAAUGGUAAUUAUGGGAGACUUAACAAAGAGUGAGUACAGCUGAAGGAGCCGGGGAGCAGAAAGUAUAUGUGUCAGGUGUGAGGAAGAAAAUAGAUUUUGGAAGUUAUGAGAACUGUAGAGAGUGAGUUGAGCAUAGUUUGUGAUUUUAAGGGCUCUAAAAGUAUUAGGGCGGUGGCGGCCACUGCACGCAGAGUAGAGGGCUAGGCUAAAACAGUAAGGUCAAGUUGUUUGGAUAAAAAGGCUACAGGGCGCGGUCCCAGUUCUUGUGUAAGAAUUCCGACUGCACAGCCCUGCACUUCAGCUGUGUGUAAUGAAAAGGGGUGGGAUGAGUCAGGGAGAGCUAGGGUGGCGGCAGUCUCUAAAGCUGUCUUCAAGGAACGGAAAGAGGAGUGGGGACAGGAUUUAGGAUCUAUGGGGUCAGCUAGGUUUCCUUUUGUGAGUUUAUAUAAUAGUUUUGUUAGGAUGGCAAAACCAGGUAUCUAAAGUUGAAAGUAUCUAACCAUGCCUAGGAAGAAAGGAGUUGUUGUUUUGUAGAAGGUGCUGGGGUUUGAGAGAUCAGUGGACACCAUCGGCAGGGAGAGCACGUGUGUUUUUAUGAGAAUUAUGCCGAGAUAGGUAACAGAUGAGGAAGAAAUUUGGGCUUGACUGAAGUAAUGGGGGCUGUCUGUGAAGCCUUGCGGCAGUACGGCCCAGGUAAUUUGCUGAGCCUGAUGGGUGUCAGGGUCAGUCCAAGUGAAAAGCGAAGAGAGGCUGGGAUGAAGGGUGCAAAGGAAUAGUAAAGAAAGCAUGUUUGAGAUCCAGAACAGAAUAAUGGAUUGUGGAGGGAGGUAUUGAGGAUAGGAGAGUAUAUGGGUUUGGCACCAUGGGGUGGAUAGGCAAAACAAUCUGGUUGAUAAAGUGCAGAUCCUGAACUAACCUGUAAGCCUCGUCUGGUUUUAGGACAGGUAAAAUGGGGGAAUUGUAAGGGGAGGUUAUAGGCUUUAAAAGGCCAUGCUGUAGCAGGCGAGUGAUAACAGGCUUUAAUCCUUUCAAAGCAUGCUGUGGGAUGGGAUAUUGGCACUGAGCAGGGUAAAGGUGAUUACGUUUUAAUGGGAUGGUAAGGGGUGCAUGAUCGGUCGCUAAGGAGGGAGUAGAGGUGUCUUAUACUUGUGGGUUAAGGUGGGGAGAUACAAGGGGAGGAUGUGAAGGAGGCUUUGAACUGGGGGAAAAGGCGGCAGUGAGGUGUGGCUGUAGCCCAGGAAUAGUCAGGGAAGCAGAUAAUUUAGUUAAAGUGUGUCGGCCUAAUAAGGGAACUGGGCAGGUGGGGAUAACUAAAAAGGAGUGCUUAAAAGAUCAUUGUCUAAGCACCAGAGUUGGGGAGUUUUAAGAGGUUUAGAAGCCUGGCCGUCAAUACCCACAACAGUUACGGAGGCGAGGGAAACAGGCCCUUGAAAAGAAGGUAAUGUGGCGUGGGUAGCCUCCGCAUUGAUUAAGAAGGGGAUAGACUUACCUUCCACUGUGAGAGUUAGCCAAAGCUCGGCGUCCGUGAUGGUUUAGGGGGGCUUCCGAGGCCAUCAGGCAGUGUCAGUCUUCAGCCGCUAAGCCGAGAAGAUCUGAGAAGGAGUCAGAGAGCCUUGGGCUGGAGUUCCAGGGGCUCUGGGAGUGGCUGCCAGGGGUUACAUAAUUAGCAGAAGGGAGGAGCUUCAAAUCCUGGCACUCUAACACAGAGAUUGUUCACUUAAGACUACACAGUACUACUUAUGAAAAAAAACUGGCAGAAGGUAAGACAAAUGAUCAACUUCCUUUUGGUGCCCUCUCCAGGUUAGUGAACCAAAUAGGUUCUAGGUUAGAAUCAUCACCAUAAAAGUAGGGGCUAACAUCAGUGACGUCUAAAAUUUCUUUUGGAUCUAUUCUACAACACUACGGAUUUUUGGACAUGAUUUUUUUUUGCUACCUCUAAAGCAGUGAGACCCUCUGGAAUUUCUGUGUAAGAGAGUUUUAGAAGUGGCAACCUGUUUGUUAGAUAAAAUUAGGAAACUUGAAACUACAGUUACAUGGCCAGCAUGCUGUAUUUGGCUUAUAUGCUUAUUCAGAGCAGAUUUUAGAGGCUGGGGGUUAACAGAAAUUGCUAUAAUGCCUCUCCCAGAAGCUACCCCUUGGUGUCUCCAGAUAUGAGUCAUUGUUUCAGAGGUGUGGGAAAAGAAGAAACUCCUGCUUUCGGCAAACCUGUAUUGGGUUUGGUCUGAUAUUGAAGAAUUUUGCCCUUCCUAAAUUGUGGAGGUCAUCUCACCCUCCAGCUAAGCCAAGCAGAGGGUGACAAUGAAUCCAUACAUGACAAAGAAAGUACUCAUGCUUCAGGCCUCUAUCUAAGUCAUUUAGCUAAAUGCUUUUCCACUGGAAUAAGAUUUUGGACUUUAUUUUAAUCAGCAGGUUUUUCCUUUGAGAGGAGUUUCAAAUCUCCCUCUUAGGAAGGUCAUGCUUCCUUUGCCUUGCUAGGCCUCGGGAUAGAAAAUAGGAUUCUCUGGAAAAAGCUAUCACUUAGUAAAUAAUUGAUUGGCGAUUGCUUUGGAUUUGAUUCGCUAAGCUGAGAACCUUCGACACAAACUGUGGAGGGUUCAAGAAUGAAUGCAAAGUAUGUGUGGUUUUUACAAUUUGGUGGUCUAAGCAAGGUAGAGGAUGUCUAGCAGGGCAACAGUGUUCCUUAACCUUGUUUUCUUUGGUUUAAUGUUCACAAGUCAUAGAAUAUACAAAUAGAACAGUCACUAAAUGCUUUUUUCCUUUGAACAAAUAGUUUCAGUUCCUACAGAUACCACCAUUGUACUCCAGUGGCUUAAAAUAGCACUGUGGUCACAAUGUCAGUCCCUAGUAGACCUUCCAGUUUUUCUAGCUAGCAUUUCCCUAAUACCUGUGAUAAUGCGUCUCCCAUAAGCUAACAAAUUAGUUCAGGUGGAGGAAUGGGGCAGGGAGACAGCUGGCUUCAUGCGAAAAAGAAAAUGCUUUCUAGUCCUAUCCGGAUGCAACAAUAUAGAGGAAAUUACAAAGGGGUGUCUAGUUCCUGUGUGGGGCAGGAGGAACACACUUAGAAAAUGUAGGAACUGUCAAAGCAAGGACUCUCUCUUAGCUGGGUGAGGUGGCUUAUGCCUGUAAUCCCAGCAUUUGGGAGGCCAAGGCAGGGGGAUUGCUUGAGCCUAGGAGUUUGAGACCAGCCUACACAACAUGGAAAAACCCUGUUUCCACUAAAAAUACAAAAUUUAGCUGGGCAUGUUGGUGCAUGCCUGUAGUCCCAGCUACUCAGGAAGCUGAGGCAGGGGGAUUGCUUAAGCUUAGGAGGUCAAGGCUGCAGUGAGCCGGGAUUGUGCCACUGCACUCCAGCCUGGGUGACAGAGCAAGACCCUGUCUCAAAGCAAACAAACAAACCCUCCCUAUCUUCAGAUAUGUGCCCAGUGCUGGGAAUGGAAAAAUGAUAAGACUCAGUGCUGUUCUAAUAGAGUAAAUAAUACUUCAUAAGGUUAAAGAGGAAGUGGGUGAUGCUAAGAAACUAGAGAUGUAAACUACUGUUUCCCAAAAGAUUAAUGGUGAAGAGAAAGGUAGCUCCAGGUGAGUGCAAUGUUGAGUGAAGAAUUAAUUUAUAGUGUGUGUCUGAGGGUAAGGGUGCUUGAGCAUAUUAGUAAAUGAUAGAGCCAUGUUGAGGAUGAGGAGAAACCGACAGUGUCUUUCAAGGUACUUCUCCCAUAGUAUCAGUACAUGUGUUUGCACGUUGAUUUAUUGGUUUAUCCCAUUCUCCUUACUAUGCACUAGGCCAGUGCUAGACUCUGGAACAAAAUGAUGUCCCCUGACAACACACACAAAAAAUUCACUCUCCACUCUUUCUUCUUCCCUGAACUCCUUCCCCAGAAACCACUUCCAGGUGUGCUUCUGCCUCAUGCUCAGGGCCACUCAAAGCCAAGUCUUUCCAACUUUAUCACUUCCUUUGUUUUGAAGAAGGGUCAGAGGAAGUGCUUUUACCAUGUGUUUUGUUUCUUGUGCAAAGCCCACAGGACCUGAUGGUUUGGCGCCCCCCAGGGGUACCCAAUGGGCCUCUUUCCUGCUCACUAACAGAUAAGGGGAACUGAGGGGCCCACGGAGGCCAGCCUGAAUGAUAAACUUUAUGUACCCUAAAUUUUCUAAUAUUUAGGGGUCAGGGGAAGGGGAGACUGCAGUCCCUGGAAGCUUUCUUUAGUGUAAC
This 6192-nucleotide long non-coding RNA is filed under the name Homo sapiens (human). Its description in RNAcentral is "HSALNT0145980". The stretch from base 5222 to 5369 matches the Rfam family "Metazoan signal recognition particle RNA". The record is from RNAcentral. Lineage: Eukaryota; Metazoa; Chordata; Mammalia; Primates; Hominidae.